Molecule: non-coding RNA, 129 nt
Organism: Picea glauca (white spruce)
Lineage: Eukaryota; Viridiplantae; Streptophyta; Pinopsida; Pinales; Pinaceae
Source: Rfam
UCUUAUGUACAUGCCUACAACAUAGAUUUAAUGCAUCGGAUCCCAUUAGAACUCCACAAUUAAGUGUGCUUGGGCUAGAGUAGUACUGGGAUGGGUGACCACCUAGGAAGUCCUAGUAUUUUACAUGCC